This 600-nucleotide ribosomal RNA is filed under the name uncultured archaeon. RNAcentral describes it as "bacterial SSU rRNA". It matches the Rfam family "Archaeal small subunit ribosomal RNA", at positions 1 to 589 of the family's 1478-position model. The record is from RNAcentral.
UCCGGUUGAUCCUGCCAGAGGCCGCUGCUAUCCGGCUGGGACUAAGCCAUGCUAGUCUAGGGGCUUGUACUCCUUCAGGGGUGCAAGCACCGGCGGACGGCUCAGUAACACGUGGACAACCUGCCCUCGGGUGGGGGAUAACCCCGGGAAACUGGGGCUAAUCCCCCAUAGGUGAUGGGUGCUGGAAUGCCCCAUCUCCGAAAGCGCUUAGCGCCCGAGGAUGGGUCUGCGGCGGAUUAGGUAGUUGGUGGGGUAACGGCCCACCAAGCCUAAGAUCCGUACGGGCUGUGGGAGCAGGAGCCCGGAGAUGGACCCUGAGACAAGGGUCCAGGCCCUACGGGGCGCAGCAGGCGCGAAACCUCCGCAAUGCGGGAAACCGCGACGGGGUUAGCCGGAGUGCCCGUGCAUUGCACGGGCUGUCGGGGUGCCUAAACAGCACCCCAUAGCAAGGGCCGGGCAAGGCCGGUGGCAGCCGCCGCGGUAAGACCGGCGGCCCGAGUGGCGGCCACUCUUAUUGGGCCUAAAGCGUCCGUAGCCGGCCCAGUAAGUCCCCCAGGAAAUCUGGUCUCUUAACGAUCAGACUUCCGGGGGAUACUGCUG